RNAcentral lists this ribosomal RNA (361 nucleotides) under uncultured bacterium. Its description in RNAcentral is "partial 16S ribosomal RNA". It matches the Rfam family "Bacterial small subunit ribosomal RNA", at positions 355 to 708 of the family's 1533-position model. The record is from RNAcentral.
UGGGGAAUUUUGGACAAUGGGCGAAAGCCUGAUCCAGCCAUACCGCGUGCAGGAUGAAGGCCUUCGGGUUGUAAACUGCUUUUGUACGGAACGAAAAAAUGUUCUCUAAUACAGGGGGGGAAUGACGGUACCGUAAGAAUAAGCACCGGCUAAAUACGUGCCAGCAGCCGCGGUAAUAUGUAGGGGGCGAGCGUUAUUCUGAAUUAUUGGGGGUAAAGCGUGCGCAGGCGGUUAUAUAAGACAGAUGUGAAAUCCCCGGGCUCAACCUGGGAACUGCAUUAGUGACUGUAUAGCUAGAGUACGGCAGAGGGGGAUGGAAUUCCGCGUGUAGCAGCGAAAUGCGGAGAUAUGCGGAGGAACA